Molecule: transfer RNA, 74 nt
Filed under: Candidatus Iainarchaeum sp.
Lineage: Archaea; Nanobdellati; Candidatus Iainarchaeota; Candidatus Iainarchaeia; Candidatus Iainarchaeales; Candidatus Iainarchaeaceae
Description: tRNA-Met
Rfam family: tRNA
About the family: Transfer RNA (tRNA) molecules are approximately 80 nucleotides in length. Their secondary structure includes four short double-helical elements and three loops (D, anti-codon, and T loops). Further hydrogen bonds mediate the characteristic L-shaped molecular structure. tRNAs have two regions of fundamental functional importance: the anti-codon, which is responsible for specific mRNA codon recognition, and the 3' end, to which the tRNAs corresponding amino acid is attached (by aminoacyl-tRNA synthetases). tRNAs cope with the degeneracy of the genetic code in two manners: having more than one tRNA (with a specific anti-codon) for a particular amino acid; and 'wobble' base-pairing, i.e. permitting non-standard base-pairing at the 3rd anti-codon position.
Source: RNAcentral
GUCGGCGUAACUCAGCCUGGUAGAGUGACGGUUUCAUAAGCCGUUUGUCGGAGGUUCAAAUCCUCCCGCCGACA